GCUCCUACCGAUUGAAUAAAGAGGUGAAAUCUCAGGAUUUUGGUGGCUUGCCAUUGGGAGAAUGAGAGUAAAUCUCUUUGUUUAGAGGAAGGAGAAGUCGUAA
Molecule: ribosomal RNA, 103 nt
Filed under: uncultured eukaryote
Lineage: Eukaryota
Description: partial small subunit ribosomal RNA
Rfam family: Eukaryotic small subunit ribosomal RNA
Source: RNAcentral